RNAcentral lists this ribosomal RNA (481 nucleotides) under uncultured bacterium. RNAcentral describes it as "partial 16S ribosomal RNA". It matches the Rfam family "Bacterial small subunit ribosomal RNA", at positions 30 to 507 of the family's 1533-position model. The record is from RNAcentral.
AUUGAACGCUGGCGGCAUGCUUUACACAUGCAAGUCGAACGGUAACAGGCCGCAAGGUGCUGACGAGUGGCGAACGGGUGAGUAAUGCAUCGGAACGUGCCCAGUCGUGGGGGAUAACUACUCGAAAGAGUAGCUAAUACCGCAUACGAUCUAUGGAUGAAAGCGGGGGACCGUAAGGCCUCGCGCGAUUGGAGCGGCCGAUGUCAGAUUAGGUAGUUGGUGGGGUAAAGGCUCACCAAGCCAACGAUCUGUAGCUGGUCUGAGAGGACGACCAGCCACACUGGGACUGAGACACGGCCCAGACUCCUACGGGAGGCAGCAGUGGGGAAUUUUGGACAAUGGGCGCAAGCCUGAUCCAGCAAUGCCGCGUGCAGGAAGAAGGCCUUCGUGUUGUAAACUGCUUUUGUACGGAACGAAACGCUCUGGUUAAUACCCGGGGCUAAUGACGGUACCGUAAGAAUAAGCACCGGCUAACUACGUG